RNAcentral lists this transfer RNA (76 nucleotides) under Gammaproteobacteria bacterium. Its description in RNAcentral is "tRNA-Ala". It matches the Rfam family "tRNA". Rfam says of the family: Transfer RNA (tRNA) molecules are approximately 80 nucleotides in length. Their secondary structure includes four short double-helical elements and three loops (D, anti-codon, and T loops). Further hydrogen bonds mediate the characteristic L-shaped molecular structure. tRNAs have two regions of fundamental functional importance: the anti-codon, which is responsible for specific mRNA codon recognition, and the 3' end, to which the tRNAs corresponding amino acid is attached (by aminoacyl-tRNA synthetases). tRNAs cope with the degeneracy of the genetic code in two manners: having more than one tRNA (with a specific anti-codon) for a particular amino acid; and 'wobble' base-pairing, i.e. permitting non-standard base-pairing at the 3rd anti-codon position. Lineage: Bacteria; Pseudomonadati; Pseudomonadota; Gammaproteobacteria. The record is from RNAcentral.
GGGGCCAUAGCUCAGCNGGGAGAGCGCGUGAAUGGCAUUCACGAGGUCGGGAGUUCGAUCCUCCCUGGCUCCACCA